ACCAGGCUUCUAGCAGGAGGAAGGGGCACCAGCACUUGGGAGAGAGCAGUGCUGCAGUCAGGGACCCAGGGAGCUAAAGAGAGCUCCUGGCUAUCUGCUAGGGCCUGCAGGCUGAGACCCUGAGGUCAUUUGCUUGGGAAGACACUCAAGUACCAAGCACACACAUUGGCCAUGAAGGGCUUGGGAUUUCUGAGAAGAUGAGGAUGUCAUCUAAGUAGAUCACUACAAACUGCUUCAGAACAUUUCUAAAGAUGUUGUUCACAAAGUGCUAUAAUGUGGCUGGAUCGUUGGAAAGACUGAAGGACACAACAAGGAGAUAUUUGGAUCAUGGACCAAGAGGCAGGGGAUGCCAAGUGUGAUGGGGAAGUGAGGAUUGACUACAGGAGUUGUCUUUGGUGUGAGAUCCCAAGUGCAAUUGACCUGGGAAGUUCUUCAGCCACUAGUCAUCCUCCUCGGAGUCCAAGACAAUGUGGACCCACCACGCCAUGCUGAUUCUCCAGGGCCAGAAGCAGCAAUCCACCUGCAAGCAUACCAUUGCAAUCCUGGCAUUGAAAACAUCUGUUCAAUGGGACCCAAAUGGAUUUUCAUUCCUCUUCUGGGUCAGCCAUCUUCACCAUCUGAAAUCUUUCUGGACUGAUUCUGUCCAGUAACUAGUACUGCACUGCACGAACACUUGUCCCACGAGCAGGAGAAGAACGACGUCAUCAUAGACUUGCUCCAUGACUCCAAUGCAGUUUGGCAGAAGGGAGAGAUGACAGAGAGGUACCGUUGUCAAAUGCAUGAAGGUACAGUUCCAGCAACAUGAAGCAAGGCAGUUCCUAGAAUGUCUCCUGUGAUGCACAGAACUCCAGGACACUGCUCCUGAAAUGUUACCAUUAACAUUGUGUAGCGAAUAGGUGCAGUGUGGAUGAGGGCACUCAACAGUGCACAGCAUAUACCCAUACCCAGUACAGCA
This is a long non-coding RNA of Mauremys mutica (yellowpond turtle), 955 nucleotides long. RefSeq lists it as uncharacterized. The record is from RefSeq and is a predicted model, not a curated record. Lineage: Eukaryota; Metazoa; Chordata; Testudines; Geoemydidae. The transcript has 5 exons.